Molecule: ribosomal RNA, 253 nt
Filed under: uncultured bacterium
Lineage: Bacteria
Description: partial 16S ribosomal RNA
Rfam family: Bacterial small subunit ribosomal RNA
Source: RNAcentral
UACGAAGGGGGCUAGCGUUGCUCGGAAUUACUGGGCGUAAAGGGCGCGUAGGCGGCACUGUUAGUCAGGCGUGAAAUUCCUGGGCUCAACCUGGGGACUGCGCUUGAUACGGCAGAGCUAGAGGAUGGAAGAGGCUCGCGGAAUUCCCAGUGUAGAGGUGAAAUUCGUAGAUAUUGGGAAGAACACCAGUGGCGAAGGCGGCUAACUGGUCCAGCACUGACGCUGAGGUGCGAAAGCGUGGGGAGCAAACAGG